UCUUCCCUCUGGCGGCGUGCCUAAUACAUGCAAGUCGAGCGAACAGACGAGGAGCUUGCUCCUCUGACGUUAGCGGCGGACGGGUGAGUAACACGUGGAUAACCUACCUAUAAGACUGGGAUAACUUCGGGAAACCGGAGCUAAUACCGGAUAAUAUAUUGAACCGCAUGGUUCAAUAGUGAAAGACGGUUUUGCUGUCACUUAUAGAUGGAUCCGCGCCGCAUUAGCUAGUUGGUAAGGUAACGGCUUACCAAGGCAACGAUGCGUAGCCGACCUGAUAGGGGGAUCGGCCACACUGGAACUGAGACACGGUCCAGACUCCUACGGGAGGCAGCAGUAGGGAAUCUUCCGCAAUGGGCGAAAGCCUGACGGAGCAACGCCGCGUGAGUGAUGAAGGUCUUCGGAUCGUAAAACUCUGUUAUUAGGGAAGAACAAAUGUGUAAGUAACUAUGCACGUCUUGACGGUACCUAAUCAGAAAGCCACGGCUAACUACGUG
Molecule: ribosomal RNA, 497 nt
Filed under: uncultured bacterium
Lineage: Bacteria
Description: partial 16S ribosomal RNA
Rfam family: Bacterial small subunit ribosomal RNA
Source: RNAcentral